UAUUAUGUUGAUUGUUGUUGGUACAUAAAACAUGUUUAUAGGUUUCACGUCAGAACAUCAUAACUGUCCAAAUUAAACUAUUUGAGAACACAAUUUUUGCACGGGUACAACAACAAUGAGAAUGGUAGACCAUCACAUUUUGGUUCCCACGUAAUCCUUUUGACGAUUGGACUAACUCAAGUGGGUCCAGGCCAGCCAAAUGGACACUAACCUUC
This 215-nucleotide long non-coding RNA is filed under the name Glycine max (soybean). Its description in RNAcentral is "long non-coding RNA (GMAX_LNC003994)". Lineage: Eukaryota; Viridiplantae; Streptophyta; Magnoliopsida; Fabales; Fabaceae. The record is from RNAcentral.